UCCAGGCCCUACGGGGCGCAGCAGGCGCGAAACCUUCGCAAUGCGCGAAAGCGCGACGAGGGGAGCCCGAGUGCCCCUCCUUCGGGGGGGGCUUUUCUGGAUCCUAAAAAGCUCCAGGAAUAAGGGCUGGGCAAGACGGGUGCCAGCCGCCGCGGUAAUACCCGCAGCUCAAGUGGUGGCCGCUUUUAUUGAGCCUAAAGCGUCCGUAGCCGGACCCGUAAAUCCCUGGGUAAAUCCUGGCGCUUAACGUCAGGAAUUCCGGGGAGACUGCGGGUCUUGGGACCGGGAGAGGUCGGAGGUACUCCUGGGGUAGCGGUGAAAUGCUGUAAUCCUAGGGGGACCACCUGUGGCGAAAGCGUCCGACUUGAACGGCUCCGACGGUGAGGGACGAAGGCCAGGGGAGCAAACCGGAUUAGAUACCCGGGUAGUCCUGGCUGUAAACGCUGCCCGCUGGGUGUUGCCGGUCUUUCGGGGGCCGGCAGUGCCGGAGCGAAGGUGUUAAGCGGGCCGCUUGGGAAGUACGGCCGCAAGGCUGAAACUUAAAGGAAUUGGCGGGAGAGCACUGCAACGGGAGGAGCGUGCGGUUUAAUUGGAUUCAACGCCGGAAAACUCACCGGGGGCGACCGGUGUAUGUGGGUCAAGCUGACGACUUUGCCCGAAUAAGAACCGGAGAGGUGGUGCAUGGCCAUCGUCAGCUCGUACCAUAGGGCGUUCACUUAAGUGUGAUAACGAGCGAGACCCCCGUCCCCAGUUGCCACCUGUCCCUCCGGGGGCAGAGCACACUGAGGAGACCGCCAGCGCUAAGCUGGAGGAAGGUGGGGUCAACGGUAGGUCAGUACGCCCCGAAUCCCCCGGGCUACACGCGCGCUACAAAGGGCAGGACAACGGGCUGCAACCCCGAGAGGGGAAGCUAAUCCUGAAACCUGUCCGUAGUUCAGAUCGAGGGCUGUAACUCGCCCUCGUGAAGCUGGAUUCCGUAGUAAUCGCGCCUCAACAUGGCGCGGGGAAUGCGCCCCUGCUCUUUGCACUCACCGCCCGUC
Molecule: ribosomal RNA, 1040 nt
Filed under: uncultured archaeon
Lineage: Archaea
Description: bacterial SSU rRNA
Rfam family: Archaeal small subunit ribosomal RNA
Source: RNAcentral